UGUUAAUGUUAUUAUGUCUCAGAAAAUGCCU
RNAcentral lists this non-coding RNA (31 nucleotides) under Mus musculus (house mouse). Lineage: Eukaryota; Metazoa; Chordata; Mammalia; Rodentia; Muridae. The record is from RNAcentral.